CUGCAUGCUUAGACAGUUGAGGCGAGUCUACUGAGAGGAAGCUAACUUCUGAUUAAAACAAACGUUAAAUAUCGGUUAAACAAACAAAUGCGGUCGCUGAUCCAAAAAAUGACACAAACUAAAAAAACUCUGGAGCGAAUUGCCUCACAACAAACGAUGCAAAGUCAGCAGUAUCAUUUCAUGAAACACCCGAGAUAGUUAGCUUGUUUUAUGGAUAUGGACAAUUUCAUCUGCACAGAGGGAGGAAGAAUGGACUUCCACAUCAAAUAAAGAGCAGCGGAGAGGGCCGGCAUCCCAGCCCUACAACUUGCAUUUGGAGCUGUGAUGUCAGCCCCACAGGAACGCUGAGCCGAGCCUGACAGCUAACCAAUCCAAUCAAAUUGAGAAGUCAGGGAGUAAAGGACCUGAUGCUGCAGCGAUUACCACCAGGGGAGAGAAGCGAUGGCAGACUUCGUCUUCCUCCUCAUCCUCCUCCAUCUCCUUCCCUCCGUCUUGGCCCUAAUCCACUUAGUUGGCUCUUCCUGAGCUUACAGCCUUUCCUUUAUUCCAUUAUAAAGACCCACUGUAUGACCUGCUGCUUAUUUCAUUAAAAAAGGCCCAAUCCAUGA
This is a long non-coding RNA of Thunnus maccoyii (southern bluefin tuna), 608 nucleotides long. RefSeq lists it as uncharacterized. Lineage: Eukaryota; Metazoa; Chordata; Actinopteri; Scombriformes; Scombridae. The transcript has 3 exons. The record is from RefSeq and is a predicted model, not a curated record.